CAAUUGGAAUUGAAGAGUCAUUUUAAGACGCCUACAGGGUCAUUCUCGGAAUCAUAUUUUCCCAGCAGUUCUCAAGAAACCCAAGCGUUUUGAUUGUCCCCAAUUCAAGCCAAUCUAAUUGAUAAUCAUUGAAAUUGAUGGCACUAUCAUUCUCGGUAGCUAAAUGUGAUGGAAGAUGUUCUUAAACAACACAGUAAUCAACAACUUGAUUUGGAUUCCCCGUAGAGCAGAGGAAGCUGGUAUGUGCGAGCGGCGGCUAGGGUUUUGCCAUAUUUUAGGUGGAAUGGGGUCAGAGCAGGAUCUCCAUCCCGAUUGGGGUCAAACCAAUCGAAUUCUGGCUCUGCUAUGCUAACUCUAUUGGCUACAUGCGAUGUUAUUGGAUCGACAGGUAUUAUUUUCUUGUGUUUUCUCGCAGAGUGCUUCAGGAGUGCUGGAUUGACUUAACUCAAAUACAAGGAAGAUGAGCAAGAAGAACCCACUUGUAUACUUGGACGUGUCUAUAGAUGGAGAUCCUAUUGAAAGAAUGGUUUUUGAGUUUGCAUGAUGUAUAUUUACUUCUGAUCUGUCAUUUACAUACUCUUCUCAGGUACUGUUCUAAAACUGAUGAGAAUUUUCGGGCACUUUGUACUGGAGAAAAGGGGAAUGGUCAGAAGAAAACUGGAAGACCCUGCACUACAAGGGAUCCUUUUUCCAUCACAUAAUUAAAGGAUCUUUGGCUCAGGCAUAUGUCUAUUGGUGUUAUGUCAAACGGCUUGCGAAGUAGACAGCAACCAAGACUUGGAAUCCCAGAAAGAAGUGUCAUUCGUGGCUGGAAGCAUAUAUCUUCAUAAACAUGGAGAAGUUGACGGGUCAAAAGUACGCGUGCAGGUCGAUAUUGAAGAAAAAACUUGUGACGCAACCAACUCCUGGGGAUUAUGUAAUGCUUGCUUAUCACCAUUGAUGUGGGGAUUAACAACCAAAAACUAUUGCUUGAUGAGUUUUAUAUUGGUCUCACACAAAACAGGGCCACUCGAAAGGAGUAUUAUGACUUACUUGAAGAGUUAUGUCUGCAGUCAAGCAAAGCUAUGGUCAAAAAGUGUUUGUGCAGUGUCUCUUAAAACUUAGAUUUACCCAAUAGCUCAUAAAUGUACCUAUCAGCCAAAUAUAAAACCACUCAGUUGGCGUUCAGUGAUGAUAUUUAUAUUGUUGAUUGAUGAUUUUCUACUCAAACUCAACAACUUUCAUGUAGUUAGAUAACCUCAAUUUUACUCUACAGAACUAGGCAUUAGGCAUGGUAAACGGGUCGGGCCGGGCGGGUUUGAGAUGCGGGUCAGAAUGGGUAAUUCAAAAAAGGUUGGUUCAGUAAGGGUUACUUUUGUUCGGGUCGGGCUCGAGCGCUUAACCCAACGCUCGACUUGUGCGGUUCUGGGCUACGCUUGCACCGGGUUGCGACAUUGGAUUUGUUCAAAAGGUCUUAUCUUCUUCCAUCUCAAUUUAUUCAUUGAUAUGCGCAGAAAGAAACACACAGUUUUCCCCGGUUUGAAAAAUAAUACCAACCCAUGCUGACCCAUUUGAAAUAUAACACCGACCCAUUCUGACCCAUUUCAUUAGAAAGGGUUGUCUCCAUCAACCCACACUGGCCCAUUUCAAUUUAUGCCACCUUCUAAAUAGUUUUAUUCAAUAAUAUAUAUUUAUUUUUGUAAUGAUAUACUCUGUGGCCCCACCCGACCAGACCUGACUAACUUUAGUAAAUUUUUAGUGAAGAUUGUACCAAAGUUUUGAUUUCUUGGAAGCUUUUGAUUAAUAACCAAGAUGCAAUUUGAGUUUUGUAUCGGUGAGUUCGUCACCUGGAAGUGGAGACACAACAGUCAUCGAGGCAAGCGGCGUCCGAGGUGUCGAGCGAGACCUUAGGCAAGAGAUCAAAGAGGCAUUUGAGUUGUUUGAUAUUGAUGGGUCUGGUACCAUUGAUGCCAAGGAGUUGAAUGUUGCUAUCAGGUAUGAGUUUAAUGUAUGAAUACAGUUACUACAGGUGGGGACAUGGGUCGGGCGGGUUGCGUAAUGGGUCAAAACGGGUCAUUGUCGGAUACGGGUCGAAGCCAGUUGGGUUGAGCCGAAACAUUUUUUUGUUAGAAAUCUUUACAGUUUUAUAAUCUAUCUUCUUUGUUACAGGAGUAAUAUUAUUUCAGUAACAAUCUAUUUUCGGCCCGUUUUGUUUUAACUCGGUUUUUUUUAAUAGUAAAGCGUACUUCUAAUGCAUGCAACUUCAUAAUUGUUUUAUCAGAAAAACUUAAAUCAUUACCGGUUAACUCAACGACCUAAGUUUUCUUUCACUUUGAGCAAAAAGAAUGGAUUUAACAAACUAGGACGCUCAAGUCUUGCAAAUGAGGCUAUUAAAAUGGUAUUUCUGGUACAGAAAGAACAAAAAAAAAAAAGAGAAGUUAUUGCGUUAAUAACGCAAAAUUACAGCCACUUGACGAUGAGAUGAAGGUCAGUUCAAGUUUAAGUUAUGAAUGCUCGAGCUCGAGGUUGGCUGGUCGAUAAUUUUUCAAGUUCAACGUCGGCUCCACUUUGGCUUGUUUAUAAAUUAUAACUUUAUAUUAGAUUUUAAUUAGUUUUUAUAUAUAAUUUUGUUGUUUUUUAAUAACUUAUAUUAUAAUUAGUAAUUAUAACUAUUUAGUAAAAGUUAUAUAGAUUGUGGGCUCAAUUAGGUUCGUGGCCCAGAUUGUGGUAGAUAAGUGUCGCUCGGGCUUUACUAAACGAGCGUGUUUGUAUUUUUUAGGAUUCGAGUCGCGCUGUUUUAAGCUCGGCCUGGUUAAGCUUGUUUUCGAGCCGAGUUCGAGUAGGUCGGGUUGUUUGCACCACCUACUUAAAAACAACCUAAAUGAGUCCAAAAAAGCUGUAAAUAUAUUCAUGUUCACAAAUAAUCAUAAAAAAUAAGGUGGGUUAAGGGUGUACACUUCUACAUGGUUACAACGAAGAGUUCAGGAAGACGUUCAAGAAAGACAAUCGAAAUGUGAAAGUUGUUUCAGCUGUCGGGAAACCUGCUGGAGAGAAGUGGAAAUAUUUGAGUGCAGAUGUACGCAAAAUAUGGUUUUCGAUCUUUCAUAGUUUCAUAUAUAUGUCAUACUUUUUAACUUCUGUCAUUCAAUCAAGUAGUUAUGUAGUAAUCCUAUCAAUCAUUAAAUAUGUUUUUAUCACCCAGUUUGUUCGUGGCUAUUGAUCACAGGGACAUGCUGGGACAGUUAGCAUUUCUUCGCUGCAGACCCAAUGGUUGGUGCAGCUGAAUUAAGGAUUAUAAACGGGUCGGCAUGGUAUACGGAACCAUUUUUUGAUUUAUAUUCCCGUCUGUAUUGUCGACUCCGCUGCAACGCGCGGGCUCCCCACUAGUAAUAUAAAUACAUCAAUAUUGAUAAUAAAUAUAGUAUUUUGAACAUCAUAUUUAA
Long non-coding RNA from Helianthus annuus (common sunflower), 3422 nucleotides. RefSeq lists it as uncharacterized. The transcript is spliced from 9 exons. NCBI's taxonomy places the organism in Eukaryota, Viridiplantae, Streptophyta, Magnoliopsida, Asterales, Asteraceae. The record is from RefSeq and is a predicted model, not a curated record.